This 576-nucleotide unclassified non-coding RNA is filed under the name Zea mays. Its description in RNAcentral is "misc RNA Zm00001eb431020". The record is from RNAcentral. Lineage: Eukaryota; Viridiplantae; Streptophyta; Magnoliopsida; Poales; Poaceae.
AUAUAUAUAAUUCAGUGUGUUGGUUGGUUGUCACUUUGUCAAAUUAAAAAAAUAAAGGGAAAAACAAAGAAAGAAAGAAAAGAAGCCGGGCGCGCAGGCAGCGCUCUGCUGAUGCUGCGUCGUGGAGUGGAGGAGACACUAUCACGGACUAGUGGGCAUCAUGUCGCUUCCUCUGUUUUCUGCUGCCUGUUGGUGGUGAGUGGCCUCAUCUCAUCUAGUAUUGACUAUAUAUAUAAAUGCAUGGUGGGUGUAACUGCCAUACGAGCACUAGUGUUUGUGUUCAAUAUGUCUGUCCGUUCGCGCAGAGAAAUCUGUUCUUAAGGGCAUGUACAGUGGGUGUUUUAAGUUAUGUCUUACAGUGUGUCUAGGGGGGUGAAUAUAAAAAAACUCAAGACACGUAUCUUGACGAAGACACAGUGUCUUAGCUCUAUGUUCGAGACAGUAGACUAGCUGAUUGGUCACUUUAAUUUAUUGAAUGCUCUGAUUGGUACAAUGAAUAUCGUAAGACACAUGUUUUAGACAUGACUAUUGUAUUAUGUUGUGUUUUAGUUGUAUCUUGUACUUAGAGUACCGUGC